RNAcentral lists this ribosomal RNA (253 nucleotides) under uncultured bacterium. RNAcentral describes it as "partial 16S ribosomal RNA". It matches the Rfam family "Bacterial small subunit ribosomal RNA", at positions 524 to 776 of the family's 1533-position model. The record is from RNAcentral.
UACGUAGGGGGCUAGCGUUGUCCGGAAUCAUUGGGCGUAAAGAGCGUGUAGGCGGCUCGGUAAGUCCGCUGUGAAAGUCCAGGGCUCAACCCUGGAAUGCCGGUGGAAACUGUCGAGCUAGAGUCCGGAAGAGGCGAGUGGAAUUCCUGGUGUAGCGGUGAAAUGCGCAGAUAUCAGGAGGAACACCAAUUGCGAAGGCAGCUCGCUGGGACGUUACUGACGCUGAGACGCGAAAGCGUGGGGAGCAAACAGG